RNAcentral lists this transfer RNA (19 nucleotides) under Eupatorium serotinum. Its description in RNAcentral is "partial tRNA-Leu". The record is from RNAcentral. Lineage: Eukaryota; Viridiplantae; Streptophyta; Magnoliopsida; Asterales; Asteraceae.
AAUCCGUCGAUUUCAAAAA